Long non-coding RNA from Drosophila pseudoobscura, 914 nucleotides. RefSeq lists it as uncharacterized. Lineage: Eukaryota; Metazoa; Arthropoda; Insecta; Diptera; Drosophilidae. The transcript has 2 exons. The record is from RefSeq and is a predicted model, not a curated record.
AUCCGAUUAUACCGGAAAGAAAAUAUGUAAUAGAUUUCAAAUAGAUUCCAAAAAUGCAUGCUGUGGCGCCCCCUACGGCCACUGACAAAACUAAGCUGGUCGAAAACUUUGCUAACUGGUUGUCGUACCAGCUAUGCUGUAACGUAAUAUUCUUACCAAAUUAGCAGCAACUUAGUCGCCACCCAAAAGUAUGACAUUGAUUGUUUUAUAUUUGCAGAGCCAAUUUGAACUGUUUUGCCAUGCUUAGGCAUAAACGCCAGAGUUCUCCCUCACUUUUACGACGUAAGUGCUUCGCAGGUGCUUUGGUCGGGUAAGAUUUUCUUGUUUCCCCCCUAUUCAUCUUUUGCCGAGACCCUUUCUGGCCAUAAACCGCUUUGGCGCGAUUCCCUCCUCUUAUUCCACCAGGUACAGUUAUUAAGUUAUUGUUCAUUCAUUUAUUUGAUUUUCAUUUUAGGUUCUCUUCCUCUCGGGAGGUACGAGGGAUGAGCUCCUGGCUGGAUGCCGCUGCAGGAGAGAACAGUGAUCGACGGCGGUUGGUCAACGUUGUAGGUCACGCCCACUGGAAAUAAUGAGCGCUGGGCUUCAUCUUGGAGACGCAGGAGUUGUGUACCCUACGCUUUGCCACAAGCCGAGUCGUAUCCAAGCCAGACAGAAUCGUAUUCCAGCAGGAAAGAAGCGCACCCCUUGCAAGAUCGGAACCUUACAGGUCAUCGUCAUCCUUUGACCUGGCCAUCGACAUGAAUGACUUUGACUACCAGGCGAGGAGCUACGCGGGCUCUAGAUUCUAAAUAUAUCUCGUUUUUGUUAUGUUAAAAGAUUGGUUUUGGGAUAUACGCGUGUAUAUACAAAAGUUUUCACUUGUUUAUUUAUUUAUGCUAAGCUAAGUUAUGAUAAAUAAAAUCAUUGAAAAAUCA